CUGAGGAUGAAAGCGGGGGACCUUCGGGCCUCGCGCUAUAGGGUUGGCCGAUGGCUGAUUAGCUAGUUGGUGGGGUAAAGGCCUACCAAGGCGACGAUCAGUAGCUGGUCUGAGAGGACGACCAGCCACACUGGGACUGAGACACGGCCCAGACUCCUACGGGAGGCAGCAGUGGGGAAUUUUGGACAAUGGGCGAAAGCCUGAUCCAGCAGUGCCGCGUGUGUGAAGAAGGCCUUCGGGUUGUAAAGCACUUUUGUCCGGAAAGAAAUCCUUGGUUCUAAUAUAGCCGGGGGAUGACGGUACCGGAAGAAUAAGCACCGGCUAACUACGCGCCAGCAGCCGCGGUAAUACGUAGGGUGCAAGCGUUAAUCGGAAUUACUGGGCGUAAAGCGUGCGCAGGCGGUUUGCUAAGACCGAUGUGAAAUCCCCGGGCUCAACCUGGGAACUGCAUUGGUGACUGGCANGCUAGAGUAUGGCAGANGGGGGUAGAAUUCCACGUGUAGCAGUGAAAUGCGUAGAGAUGUGGAGGAAUACCGAUGGCGAANGCAGCCCCCUGGGCCGAUACUGACGCUCAUGCACGAAAGCGUGGGGAGCAAACCGGAUUAGAUACCCUGGUAGUCCACGCCCUAAACGAUGUCAACUAGUUGUUGGGGAUUCAUUUCCUUAGUAACGUANCUAA
RNAcentral lists this ribosomal RNA (679 nucleotides) under uncultured Burkholderia sp. Its description in RNAcentral is "bacterial SSU rRNA". It matches the Rfam family "Bacterial small subunit ribosomal RNA", at positions 194 to 855 of the family's 1533-position model. Lineage: Bacteria; Pseudomonadati; Pseudomonadota; Betaproteobacteria; Burkholderiales; Burkholderiaceae. The record is from RNAcentral.